This 305-nucleotide ribosomal RNA is filed under the name uncultured bacterium. RNAcentral's name for it is "bacterial SSU rRNA". It matches the Rfam family "Bacterial small subunit ribosomal RNA", at positions 335 to 654 of the family's 1533-position model. The record is from RNAcentral.
GGGCCUACGGGAGGCAGCAGUGGGGAAUAUUGCACAAUGGGGGAAACCCUGAUGCAGCAACGCCGCGUGAAGGAAGACGGUUUUCGGAUUGUAAACUUCUAUCAAUAGGGAAGAAAGAAAUGACGGUACCUAAAUAAGAAGCCCCGGCUAACUACGUGCCAGCAGCCGCGGUAAUACGUAGGGGGCAAGCGUUAUCCGGAUUUACUGGGUGUAAAGGGUGCGUAGGUGGCAGGGCAAGUCAGAUGUGAAAGCCCGGGGCUCAACCCCGGUACUGCAUUUGAAACUGUCCAGCUGGAGUGCAGGAG